This 71-nucleotide transfer RNA is filed under the name Marmota monax (woodchuck). Its description in RNAcentral is "tRNA.Gly". It matches the Rfam family "tRNA". Rfam says of the family: Transfer RNA (tRNA) molecules are approximately 80 nucleotides in length. Their secondary structure includes four short double-helical elements and three loops (D, anti-codon, and T loops). Further hydrogen bonds mediate the characteristic L-shaped molecular structure. tRNAs have two regions of fundamental functional importance: the anti-codon, which is responsible for specific mRNA codon recognition, and the 3' end, to which the tRNAs corresponding amino acid is attached (by aminoacyl-tRNA synthetases). tRNAs cope with the degeneracy of the genetic code in two manners: having more than one tRNA (with a specific anti-codon) for a particular amino acid; and 'wobble' base-pairing, i.e. permitting non-standard base-pairing at the 3rd anti-codon position. The record is from RNAcentral. Lineage: Eukaryota; Metazoa; Chordata; Mammalia; Rodentia; Sciuridae.
GGGGUUGUGGCUUAGUGGUAGAGCGCUCGCCUACCAUGCGUGAGUCACUGGGUUCUAUCCUCAGCACCACA